RNAcentral lists this ribosomal RNA (569 nucleotides) under uncultured yeast. Its description in RNAcentral is "partial large subunit ribosomal RNA". It matches the Rfam family "Eukaryotic large subunit ribosomal RNA", at positions 66 to 664 of the family's 3401-position model. Lineage: Eukaryota; Fungi. The record is from RNAcentral.
CCACCGGGCAUGCACAGUAGCGGCGAGCGAAGCUGCACAAGCUCAGGGUUGAAAUCUGCGACAACGCAGAAUUGUAGUCUAGAGACGCGGAGCGGCGCGGCGCAGCGGCCUCGCAAGUCCCUUGGAAGAGGGCGCCGGAGAGGGUGAGAGCCCCGUGGCGAGGCGCGGUGUGUUGUGCGAUUUGCGUUCGAAGAGUCGGGCUGUUUGAGAUCGCAGCCCAAAGCGGGAGGUAAAUUUCUUCCAAAGCUAAGUAUGGGCGGGAGACCGAUAGUGGAAAAGUAGAGCGAUCGAAAGAUGAAAAGAACUUUGAAAAGAGAGUGAAAAGGACCUGAAAUUGUUGAAAGGGAAGAGAUUCGCGGCAGUGGGAACGGUGCGGCGUGGCGAACAACGCGACGCGGCACGGUCUGCAUGGCUUGCCGGCGCCGGAGACGGUCCGCGGAACAAGGUAGGCAUCUCUGCGGAGUGCUGUUAUAGAUCUGGGGACGGUGCGGGCGCGCGGGGAGCGAGGAGGUUAGGAGAUGCAGGCGAAAUGGCGCGAAUCAUCCCGUCUUGAAACACGGGAACCAAAA